RNAcentral lists this ribosomal RNA (779 nucleotides) under uncultured bacterium. RNAcentral's name for it is "bacterial SSU rRNA". It matches the Rfam family "Bacterial small subunit ribosomal RNA", at positions 8 to 796 of the family's 1533-position model. The record is from RNAcentral.
AGAGUUUGAUCAUGGCUCAGGACGAACGCUGGCGGCGUGCCUAACACAUGCAAGUCGAACGGGGCUAUUUGAGAGCUUGCUUUCGGAUAGCUCAGUGGCGGACGGGUGAGUAACGCGUGAGGAACCUGCCUAUCAGAGGGGGAUAACGUCUGGAAACGGACGAUAAUACCGCAUAACAUUCCGAGGCCGCAUGGUUUUGGAAUCAAAGGAGCAAUCCGCUGAGAGAUGGACUCGCGUCCGAUUAGCCAGUUGGCGGGGCAAUGGCCCACCAAAGCAGCGAUCGGUAGCCGGGCUGAGAGGCUGAACGGCCACAUUGGGACUGAGACACGGCCCAGACUCCUACGGGAGGCAGCAGUGGGGGAUAUUGCACAAUGGAGGAAACUCUGAUGCAGCGACGCCGCGUGAGGGAAGACGGUUUUCGGAUUGUAAACCUCUGUCUUCAGGGACGAUAAUGACGGUACCUGAGGAGGAAGCUCCGGCUAACUACGUGCCAGCAGCCGCGGUAAUACGUAGGGAGCAAGCGUUGUCCGGAAUUACUGGGUGUAAAGGGUGCGUAGGCGGCUUAGCAAGUCAGGCGUGAAAGGCGGAGGCUUAACCUCCGAGCUGCGUUUGAAACUGUGAGGCUUGAGUGGAGCAGAGGCAGGCGGAAUUCCCGGUGUAGCGGUGAAAUGCGUAGAGAUCGGGAGGAACACCAGUGGCGAAGGCGGCCUGCUGGGCUUUAACUGACGCUGAGGCACGAAAGCAUGGGUAGCAAACAGGAUUAGAUACCCUAGUAGUCC